GACGAACGCUGGCGGCGUGCUUAACACAUGCAAGUCGAACGGAAAGGCCCUGCUUUUGUGGGGUGCUCGAGUGGCGAACGGGUGAGUAACACGUGAGUAACCUGCCCUUGACUUUGGGAUAACUUCAGGAAACUGGGGCUAAUACCGGAUAGGAGCUCCUGCUGCAUGGUGGGGGUUGGAAAGUUUCGGCGGUUGGGGAUGGACUCGCGGCUUAUCAGCUUGUUGGUGGGGUAGUGGCUUACCAAGGCUUUGACGGGUAGCCGGCCUGAGAGGGUGACCGGCCACAUUGGGACUGAGAUACGGCCCAGACUCCUACGGGAGGCAGCAGUGGGGAAUAUUGCACAAUGGGCGGAAGCCUGAUGCAGCAACGCCGCGUGCGGGAUGCCGGCCUUCGGGUUGUAAACCGCUUUCGCCUGUGACGAAACGUGAGUGACGGUAAUGGGUAAAGAAGCACCGGCUAACUACGUG
RNAcentral lists this ribosomal RNA (468 nucleotides) under uncultured bacterium. RNAcentral describes it as "partial 16S ribosomal RNA". It matches the Rfam family "Bacterial small subunit ribosomal RNA", at positions 28 to 507 of the family's 1533-position model. The record is from RNAcentral.